GAUGAACGCUAGCUACAGGCUUAACACAUGCAAGUCGAGGGGUCUGCUUCGGCAGACGACCGGCGCACGGGUGAGUAACGCGUAUCCAACCUGCCCUUCAUAUUGGGAUAGCCUCUCGAAAGGGAGAUUAAUACCGAAUAACAUGAGAUCGACACCUGUUUAUUUCAUGAAAGCUCCGGCGAUGAAGGAUGGGGAUGCGUUCCAUUAGGUAGUAGGCGGGGUAACGGCCCACCUAGCCUACGAUGGAUAGGGGUUCUGAGAGGAAGGUCCCCCACACUGGAACUGAGACACGGUCCAG
This 298-nucleotide ribosomal RNA is filed under the name uncultured bacterium. RNAcentral describes it as "partial 16S ribosomal RNA". It matches the Rfam family "Bacterial small subunit ribosomal RNA", at positions 28 to 334 of the family's 1533-position model. The record is from RNAcentral.